Molecule: ribosomal RNA, 326 nt
Filed under: uncultured eukaryote
Lineage: Eukaryota
Description: partial 18S ribosomal RNA
Rfam family: Eukaryotic small subunit ribosomal RNA
Source: RNAcentral
CCCUUAGAUGUUCUGGGCCGCACGCGCGCUACACUGAUGCGUUCAACGAGUAUACAACCUUGAUCGAUAGGUCUGGGUAAUCUUGUGAAUGCGCAUCGUGCUAGGGAUAGAUUGUUGCAAUUUUCAAUCUUGAACGAGGAAUUCCUAGUAAACGCAAGUCAUCAGCUUGCAUUGAUUACGUCCCUGCCCUUUGUACACACCGCCCGUCGCACCUACCGAUUGAGUGAUCCGGUGAAUAAUUCGGACUGACGCAGUGCUCAGCUUCUGGACGUUGCGUCGGAAAGUUUCAUGAACCUUAUCACUUAGAGGAAGGAGAAGUCGUAACA